RNAcentral lists this ribosomal RNA (301 nucleotides) under uncultured bacterium. Its description in RNAcentral is "partial 16S ribosomal RNA". It matches the Rfam family "Bacterial small subunit ribosomal RNA", at positions 509 to 807 of the family's 1533-position model. The record is from RNAcentral.
CAGUCGCCGCGGUAAUACGGAGGGUGCAAGCGUUAAUCGGGAUUACUGGGCGUAAAGCGCACGCAGGCGGUUUGUUAAGUCAGAUGUGAAAUCCCCGAGCUUAACUUGGGAACUGCAUUUGAAACUGGCAAGCUAGAGUCUUGUAGAGGGGGGUAGAAUUCCAGGUGUAGCGGUGAAAUGCGUAGAGAUCUGGAGGAAUACCGGUGGCGAAGGCGGCCCCCUGGACAAAGACUGACGCUCAGGUGCGAAAGCGUGGGGAGCAAACAGGAUUAGAUACCCCUGUAGUCCCUGUCUCUUAUAC